This 377-nucleotide ribosomal RNA is filed under the name uncultured eukaryote. RNAcentral describes it as "partial 18S ribosomal RNA". It matches the Rfam family "Eukaryotic small subunit ribosomal RNA", at positions 592 to 976 of the family's 1831-position model. The record is from RNAcentral.
CAAUAGCGUAUAUUAAAGUUGUUGCAGUUAAAAAGCUCGUAGUUGGAUUUCGGGGCAGCCUGGCUGGUCCGCCGCAAGGCGAGUACUGGUCAGCCGCCCUUCCUCUCGAAAGCCCCGACUGCUCUUCGUUGCAGUGGUCGGGUAGUUCGGGACGUUUACUUUGAAAAAAUUAGAGUGUUCAAGGCAGGCCUACGCCUGAAUACAUUAGCACGGAAUAAUGGAAGAGGACCUCGGUCCUAUUUUGUUGGUUUCCAGGGCCGAAGUAAUGAUUAAGAGGGACAGUUGGGGGCAUUCGUAUUUAAUUGUCAGAGGUGAAAUUCUCGGAUUUAUGAAAGACGAACAACUGCGAAAGCAUUUGCCAAGGAUGUUUUCAUUAA